Molecule: long non-coding RNA, 218 nt
Filed under: Gossypium barbadense (sea-island cotton)
Lineage: Eukaryota; Viridiplantae; Streptophyta; Magnoliopsida; Malvales; Malvaceae
Description: long non-coding RNA (GBAR_LNC009314)
Source: RNAcentral
AAAUUGAAACAAAUUAGAACUAAAAUAAUAACUAAAUUAAUAACAAAACAAAAAAUUUACAAUAUCAAAAUAAUAUUAAAAACGACAACAUAUAACAUAAUAAAUAGCUGUAAAAGAACAAUAAAACACGACAAAAAAUAGCACCAAAACAGCACCCAAACAACACCAAAACAGCACCCAAACAGCACCAAAACUGCAGCAAAACAGCAGUGAGCUAG